UGGGGAAUAUUGCACAAUGGGCGAAAGCCUGAUGCAGCGACGCCGCGUGAGGGAUGACGGCCUUCGGGUUGUAAACCUCUUUCGGCAGGGACGAAGCGCAAGUGACGGUACCUGCAGAAGAAGCACCGGCUAACUACGUGCCAGCAGCCGCGGUAAUACGUAGGGUGCAAGCGUUGUCCGGAAUUACUGGGCGUAAAGAGUUCGUAGGCGGUUUGUCGCGUCGUUUGUGAAAACCAGCAGCUCAACUGCUGGCUUGCAGGCGAUACGGGCAGACUUGAGUACUGCAGGGGAGACUGGAAUUCCUGGUGUAGCGGUGAAAUGCGCAGAUAUCAGGAGGAACACCGGUGGCGAAGGCGGGUCUCUGGGCAGUAACUGACGCUGAGGAACGAAAGCGUGGGUAGCGAACAGG
This 409-nucleotide ribosomal RNA is filed under the name bacterium. Its description in RNAcentral is "partial 16S ribosomal RNA". It matches the Rfam family "Bacterial small subunit ribosomal RNA", at positions 355 to 776 of the family's 1533-position model. The record is from RNAcentral.